UAGCUCAGUGGUAGAGCACUUGCCUAGCAAGCACAAGGCCCUGGGUUCAGUCCCCAG
Rattus norvegicus (Norway rat) is the source of this 57-nucleotide non-coding RNA. NCBI's taxonomy places the organism in Eukaryota, Metazoa, Chordata, Mammalia, Rodentia, Muridae. The record is from Rfam.